Long non-coding RNA from Larimichthys crocea (large yellow croaker), 694 nucleotides. RefSeq lists it as uncharacterized. The transcript is spliced from 5 exons. The record is from RefSeq and is a predicted model, not a curated record. NCBI's taxonomy places the organism in Eukaryota, Metazoa, Chordata, Actinopteri, Sciaenidae.
CUCAGGUGUGGACUUCCGCUCACCUGCCAGACGCAACUUCGUCGUGUUUCCACAGGACAGCAGACCUUCAACACGGGACAACUAUCGUCAGCUGAGACCAGGACACAAACAUUUCUCCAGAGAUCGAUGGAGACAACUGUGGUAAUGGCCUUAACAGCCAAGCAUGGAGGGCGAUCAGUGGCCAUUGAUCCGAGCGGCUGGGGAACCGAUGUAUGUCCGAGUUAAAGGAAUGCAGUGGUUCUUAGAGGGACACUCGACUAAACAAAGCCUCGUCUUCUCUGUCGACAUGUCUAAGAGGUGUGCAGAUGACGUCGUCUGACAUUGGCUUCAAGAUAGAUGCCUCCAGUCCACUACAAAGAGAUGGAUGUCAGCUGAUAUCUGGGUCGACUGUAUUGUCUACUAUAGCGCUGACAUUCUCCUGGAGCAGAUGGUGCCGACUGAGAACAUGAACGCUGCCAUGCCCUUGGAUGGGACAGGAAAUCUCUCUUCCCCUCAUUUCCCUUGAUUGCCUUUUUUGUUCCUCUUGUCCUCCUUUUUUUUUAUCUCUCCACUCCCUCUCUUCUGCUACCUUUUCGUUUCUUCAGUUCUUUUUUAAAUGAACCUUGGGGGCCUGCAAGAGAAAUCUUGGAUGCGGCUUUACUUGUUUACAGCACAGCGCUCUUUUAUAAGAAAGUGUUAUGCUAAUAAACCCACG